Sycon ciliatum is the source of this 1994-nucleotide long non-coding RNA. RefSeq lists it as uncharacterized. The transcript is spliced from 3 exons. The record is from RefSeq and is a predicted model, not a curated record. NCBI's taxonomy places the organism in Eukaryota, Metazoa, Porifera, Calcarea, Leucosolenida, Sycettidae.
GGCCUUUUGCAAGUAACUAGUUUUGAAAGGUCCGAGGCUGAGUCGGAAAUAAGUCACGCAUGGAGCAACGGUGAGACGGUCGGCAAUCUCUCACGGCCUCAGCUGCAGUCCCACCAUACGGGGAAGUUAGAUCAGCAGGAAAGGCCCCCACAAAUAGGCACAGUCUGUAGUUGCGCCUGACAUAAUUCCCUCUGCAGAUGCUGUUGCUCGCUAGCUCGCCAGAAAUCGAGUUAUGGGCGCUAAUUUGUCGUACACUACAAUGGACCUGAGCUGAGUGGUCGUGUUGCAAUCGUAACCGGUGCUAACUCCGGUACGGGCUAUGAGUAUGAGACUACGAAAGCCCUGGCCAGGAUGGGGGCCAAGGUCAUCAUGGCCUGCAGAUCACAGAGCAGAGCUGAACAGUUAAUCCAUUCGACCGGCAAGAGUUUGUACACGUCAUUCUGCCCAAGCUGUACAAGAUUCCCUGCGCCAAGUUUCGCAACUGUGUCCAGGGCCAAGGGCUUCUGCGGUUGGAAGACAUCGAGGAGUUAAUUUGCCGUGAGAAGCAGAGCGGAACGGAGGAGCAUCACGUGUACGUGAUAAACUGCAUACGUGCAUGCGGACGGGAUACCUACGCCAAGCUCUGCGAUGCCAUCGCACCCAUGUUCACCCACCGCUGGCUGACGAGAUGCGUACGCUUCUCCGGUAAUUCAGUGACGUCGUCCGGCGAAAUUCAACUGUCAAGUUAUCACCACCAGUUCUGUACAAGAGACAAGUCGGGGAUGUCAGUCGCACUAGGUGGGCGCGGGUGUCCGCGCACGCGUGUGCCUGUGUGUGUGUGUGUGUGUGUGCGUGUGUGUGUGUGUGUGUGUGUGUGUGUGUGUGUGUGUGUGUGCGUGUGUGUGCGCGUGCACACACGUGUGUUUUGUGAGUCUACACACGUGUGCGUAUGUUGUGUAUUCGUAUUCGUAUUUGUAUUUCAUAAUCAGCAGCUUCAGUUCAGGUUUAGUUCCGCUAGUGUGUACAUAGUCCUAUACACUGCCUUUGCUUUGUCACGAUGACACACCCUGGCCAUGCUCUGUUAUUCCCUGCAUGCUGUUCACUAUAAUCAUUCCUGACUGACUGACUUUGCCCCAGUCAGUACAGUACAAUGUGCUACAAGCUGGUAAUCUUGUUUUUGAUGCCCGUUGCUCUUUCACGUGCCACUCAGCAGUAUCUGUGUGUGUGUGUGUGUGUGUGUGUGUGUGUGUGUGUGUGUGUGUGUGUGUGUGUGUGUGUGUGUGUGUGUGUGUGUGUGUGUGCGUGAGUGUGUAGGAGGGCACACACACUUGCUUGUGGGCUUGAAGUACUUGCUUCCAAUACCCAGAUAGCUACUACAUGUAUUAGCUAUUUCAAGCACUAGUCUAUUAGGUCUCAAUACAGUGUGCCGCUGACUGUGUUUGUACGUCUGAUCUUGAUAUCCUCAAUGCUAUGGGUUGAUCGCCACUUUCCAAAACUAGUUUACCGCCUAAAUCAUGUAUUUUCCCUCCUUGCGGUGCCCGUACGCGCUUUGCACCUGCAUCGUACGAACGCUUCCCCAUAUUUUUGUAUAUGCUGCUAGCCGUGUCCGCUGUCACGUGAUUGCUGCACAUUGCUCUGUGUCUGCCUUUCAGAGCUAUUACUGCAAUGAUCCACUGGAGCCCCGUUCUGUGGUGAACACCUGAUUUGCUCUCUCUCUCUCUCUCUCUCUCUCUCUCUCUCUCUCUCUCUCUCUCUCUCUCUCUCUCUCUCUCGUUUCUUGUCUCGGAUCAAACCUCUAUCAUGUUUUCAAUUUGUCUAUGUCAAUGUCGGCAGUACCUGUUCUGCAUUUAUGUCCUCGCUACCCCUACCCCCUCCCCCACCCACCCGGCCCCAUAUCCUGGCUGGUGUGCAUUGAUUAUUUUCUAUCCCACUAUACUGACUGACUGACUGAAUGAUAGCAUGUCUUAGAGGGACAUCAGCUCCAUGCUUACCUUGGUAUGGUGCUGGCUGAUCUA